Molecule: long non-coding RNA, 40409 nt
Filed under: Capsicum annuum
Lineage: Eukaryota; Viridiplantae; Streptophyta; Magnoliopsida; Solanales; Solanaceae
Description: long non-coding RNA (CANN_LNC010652)
Source: RNAcentral
GUUUGUGAGCUUUCUUUUGCGUCAAGUAAGCCAUAAAUUGCUGUAUUUUGCAUCAUUUAUACCUGAAACUUUCCUAAUCACAUUUGUUAGCUCAUUUACAGGAAAAAGGACUAAAAGUGUACGAAAUAGAUAAUUAGUUCUCGAAACUAGGCUAAAAUAUGGGCAAAAUAUAUUGAUAUAGGCGCGUAAUUUCGCCUAUCAUCACCCGAAUACUAAGAAGGCUGCUGAUGAGGGUUCCUACCAUGAAAUCCUCAGCCUGAGAACUGUGAACCGCUGUAGCUACCCUGGUAGCGUGGUCUCUUAUCGCUGCCCCUUUGGGCCUCACGAUCCAUCUCCUCUAUGGAAUAAACAUGAUUGGAUACCUCCAAAAAAGACUUCCCUGAAGUUACCAAACUCUGUGUAUCCCUACGGAGAGACAAUCUCAAUCCCCUGACAAAGCAUCAAAUUCGCUCGUACUCCGUAUUUAGAAUCAUAGUAGUGUGUGUGGAUAACUUGUGGAAACUCGCCUCAUAUUCAGCCACAGUCAUAGAACCUGCCUCAACGCUGUAAACUCAUCCCGGAGAUGCUCACGCAUGCUACGAGGCAUAUACUUCCCCAAGAAAUCCUUGGAGAACUGUGUCCAAAUCACUGGUGGAGAUCCAACUAGCCUAGAAUCAAGAUAACCACUCCACGACCUUCUCAUUGCCGUGUCGAAUUAAUAAGAAAUAAAGUCCACUCACCGACACCUAGCUCUCGAACCUCGUGUCCUAGCCAUUGGAGUAAAGAGUGAACUAAUGAAAGAUGAUUACAACCAACCCAGACUCAACGCACAAAAAAUGGAUCAAGAAAAUAAGAUUUUUUCCUAAAAAUGCUCUGUAGCCUCCUAAGGAUAGGAUACUGAUGUCUCCGUACCGAUCCGUGGGACACUAAUAAACAUCGGCUCCAGUACUAACAAUUCCAGUAAGACCUAAGCUCUGAUACGAAUCUGUCACGACCUAAUUUCUCAAGUCAUGAUGGUGCCUACUUUAACCCUCCAGUAGGCAAGCCAAGUCAUAGUCCGGAAUGAUAAGUAACGGGCUAACAGGCAAAGACCAAAUAAAGUAAUAUGUAUAAUAAUUAUAAUAAGUAAAAACUAAGAAAGAAACAUAUAUAUAAAUUAUAUCAAAACGAGAUGAGGAAAAAGGGCCAACUUAUAAUAAAUCCCUCUCAAGACCUGAUAAGGUCAGUACUAUAGAUACUACUAAAAGAUACCUAGAGUACUAGAUAAUAAUAUAAAAUAUACAAAAUAUACACAAGUAGUCUUGAGUGCAAAAGACUAACUGGAAUAGAUAGAUGAAGAUCAGCCUCGGACAACAGCAAGCUCUCCCUGCUCUGAAUCAGUGAUGAAAGGUAGGAACCACAUCAACAUUGAUUGCUAAUGCACGGAUCUGCAUCAGAAAAAGAUGCAGAAGUGUAGUAUGAGUACCAAAAACCACAGGUACUCAGUAGGCAUUAUCGACCAACCAAGCUUAAUACAGAAAAGGUAUAACUACAAUGCGAGGGCGUAAUCUGAGUCAUUAGUAGAUAGGGAUGGAAAGGUAAAGAACUAUCAAGCUACGCAACGGUUGUAAAGGAAUAAACUUAUGCGAUACCAAAAGAAUAAAUAAUGCAGUAAUAAUAGAUAAAUCAAACAUAACCUAACUGGGUCCCCAUACGCCUGCUAGGCACACUACAUAACCUAACUGGGCCCCCAUAAGCCUGCUAGGCACAGUGAAAAAGAUAAUUAACCCAUCCGUACCCCCAUAAACUGGUGGGACACACAUGUAGUGAAAAUAAAUAUAAAUAGUCUAUAAUUGCGCUGAUCACCAUAAAUCAUAAAAGUUUUCCAGAUGUGUACCAGACUUAAACCGGCACCAAUGGGUGAUAACGAGAGGCAAGAUAUAUAACUCAUAAUCAGAUGCUGGGCUCGAACCGAAACUCAUGGUAACCAUAAUAGUCAAUUGCCGGACUUGAAUCGGAACUCAUAGUAACCAUAAUAAUCAUUUGCCGGACUCGAACCGGAACUCAUAGUAACCAUAAUAAUCAUUUUCCGGACUCAAACCUGAACUCAUAGUAACGAUAAUAAUCAUUUGCCGGACUAGAACUGGAACUCAUAGCAACCAUAGUAAUCAUUUGCCAGACUCGAACCAAAACUCAUAGUAACCACAAUAAUCAUUUUCCGGAAUCGAGCCAUAUCCACCAGAAAUAUUAGAAUUCAUACCAAAUCAUAACAAUGUCAAUGUCGAAAUAAUCAUCCGUUAAUCUUAAUUAAAAGGGAAUAAAUUUAAGAUUUUGAAAUUUAAUUUCACGUUCUAAAAUAAUAGGUGUUAUAUUAUAUUAAAAGAUAAUGUUUAUCCAAAGCUAACAUAAUGGUUAACAUUUUCAGUAAAUAAGCUCAAUCUAAAGAUAGGGUAAACCUAGCCUACCUGGACGCCAAAACUAUAAUAUCUUUCCACGAAGCUUGCAAAUAAUAUCUCGCUAGAACCCGAAAUUGAAUAACACUAAGAUAAUAUUUUCCACAACGUCCUUUAACAAACUGAGAAGAUCCAAAUAUUGGAGAAGACAAACAUAACGUGAAUAUACAUAAACUUGCAGUGAGUGCAAGUUCACUUUUCUUUUCUUCACUUUAAAAGGUCAAAGGAACUAUAUAUAUAAGUAAUGUUAGGCUAUGGUUGAAGACAAGCGGCAGAAUAGACUAGAUGCCUGUAAUGUGUUCUUUGCCAAUGAAGCAUAUGCAGAAACAAUGUGAACAGUUGCAUAUUAUAGAGCGAUAAUUAUAUUGAGAAUCAGCAUAGUUUAUAGCCAAACAAUUUCCAAUGCUAUUUUUUUGAUAAUUUACAGUGCAAUCUAUUUUUGCUAUUCCAAGAAUAGACUAGAUGCCUGUAAUGUGUUCUCUUUCAUAUUGCGCAUCGUUGUUCUAACUCACCACUUUAAUAUCAAAUAUUGAACUAAGGGUCUAUCAGAAACAACCUUUUGACUUUCUAAUUUAAGGAUAAGGUUUAUCCUUUCCAAACUGCAGUAGUGCUAUCACACUCGACAUGUUGUUAUUGUUCUUAUUACGUUAGAUCAAACAUAAGAUGUUAUUCAUCAAAAUGUCACGAGGAUAGUAACUUUAUCAACAUGCGUUGCAGUUUGGAAGUGUCGUGGCAUUUCAUCUCUUGCCAAAGCUCGGAAUCCAGAAUGCUCCCUCUCAAGUAACUGAUUGGAAUAUAAAAUCAAUACUCAUUUUCUGCAGCACAAAUUUCUGCAUAGAAAAUGAGUCCAACUAAAGCGAAGAAGUGAACAAUAAGUGCAGCGUCAUUUCAAUGCCGACCUCCAAAAGUUUUCAAUAAAGAAUUCUUCAGGUAGUAAAGCAUGGCUAUCAUAUAAUAUUUCAUUUCUAAUUCCAAAUAAAGCUCUAUCAAUCAGCUACAUUCUGAAGUUCUUUUGCAAUCUGAUACAAGCUAAAGCAAACUCCUAAUCAGACACUCAUAACAAGUAAAUAGUAUAACAAUACUCGGUGUUAGUAAAAUAGGGGGAAAUCGGAAAACAAAAAUAAGAGAUAUGACACUUGCCAAUGCUAUAACUGCAUUUAUAGCUUUACUGCGUAACACAAUAACUGCAUGCUUGAGAGGAAAAUAAUGAUAUCACAACGACUAUAUAGAUAGAGAAAAUAAUGCAACAGGUAGUAAUUAAAAUUAAAAAUAGGAUACAAGAUGACUAUUAACUAAAUCAGAAUCUAAAUAUUCGUCCAUGCCAUAAUUGCACAGACGUGUAAACAUAACUAAUCUUCGAAAAUAUAAAACAUCCUUAGCAGCUAUUUGUAAUGGUUCAAUCUUAACAGCUUCAUGUGAUUCUUCAAACUUCAUACUUGGAUUGCUCCAAAUUCCUCAGAAACAUUUUCCAUCUCGGAAGAACAAGUCUCAAUAAACUUCUUCUUGAUAGCACACAAAACAUAGUCUCUACGAUCUUCAUCAAACUGAUGGAGAAUAACAUUAGAGAGCUUGUACUCCUUCAUCAGCCAGUAGUGUCCAUCGUCUUCUCUAUGCUCCUCGUUAUUAUUAACCAUGUAAUGCAUCAUCUAAAUUUGGUAAUAUUUGAUCUCGGAUCUACCAAUUCAGUAAUGUUUACCUAUUUUCUAAUUGAAUGCUCUUACCGUUAUGCAUCCAUGGUUGAAGUGCCCAACCAUAAUUGGCAAAAUCAUCCUAACUAUUGAAAUCUUAAUAAAAAUUACAGGACAGUCAAUUAUAAAUGUCAUGAACGCCCGUGCUUUAAGGGAUUCCCUUAAGGUUGAGGAACAUGUAAUAGGGUGUAUGUACAAUAUCGUAUUGAUCAUGGGUUGGCUCAAAAGCAAUUUUCGUGAAUCUAAGCGAUUGCUAGUUCUUUUUCUUUUCAUAGUUUAGUUUUGCAGGAAAAAAAAAGCUGAAACAAUCAUCUUACUUUUUCAAAUUUCUCUACUCCACAGCUUGAAACAUCACAUUUUUUUCCUUUUUACCUUGGUGCAAAUAGAAAAAUGAAUAGAUCAUUCUAAAUUAUGCUUUACCUAUUAGAGAGAAUAUUCUGGAAACGGCCUCUGUACCUCCACGUGGUAGGGGUAUGGCCUGCAUACGCUCUAACCUCCCCAUACUCUACUUUGUGAGAUUUCACUGGGUAAAUUGUCUACCUAUUUGAUCUUGGAUCUACCUAUUCAAAAAUAUUACAGGUUGAAUUUAUUGUGUUAAACUCAUGAUGAACCUAUGUAUGUAGAUACUACUGUAGGUAUUUCUUUAGUAGUAGAUUAAGUGUAUUGAUAUACUAGUCUGAAUAUAUUAGGGUAUGAUACUGGGGUAGAUCUUAUCAUCGUAGAUAUGACAGAUUUUAGUGUGAUUUAGGGUAUAGAUUGUAAGAUUUUCACUUGUUGAUUAUCUCGUGUGUAAUGGUAUUCUAUUUUCAAUAUGUAUUUACAUUUUUUUAUGAUGUAGGGAGGAGUUUGAGAAUAUUGAAGAUUUUGCUUCUAGACUACCAAUUGAGAGUCGGAACUAUUACAAAUUACAUACGGUAAAUUUCCCACUACCUCCUAUGAUGAUAUUUUUAUUCGGAAGAUAGGACUGUUGGUAUUUUAUACAUUAAAAAGUUUGAUAUAAUAUCGAAUCCUGAAAAGCGUAGGAUACUAUCAUUUGUAGUUAUAUACUAUAAGGGGAUGAUUUCUUCUCACCUGUUUUCUUGCUGCAAAAUUUUUUAUACUCAAGCAUACUAGUUGACUAUGAAAUUUAUUAAAAAUCAAGGCUCUGGCAAAAUUCAUAUUAUUCUCUGAUUAUGACCAAUAUGAAAUACUUUUCAGAGAUAAUCAAUGUUGCUUUUAUUUGUUGCAGUAUUUGAUGUUGAAUAUUUCGUAAAUAGCGGAAAUGAUAUAGCUACUGAAUCUUGUAUCCAAGUGCUUCGAAUUAGAAGAAAAUGCCUUGUCAUUGGUUAUAGAUUUUUGCAUCCUCAUCGGUGUUUAAGGGAGCUAACUGUGAUCAAAGAUCCCUUUCUUCCAGUUAUUAUUUAAUUAAUCCUACUCUGGUUCUCGUUAAAAUUCAUGUUUGAUUUUCAUAUCAUUGCACUACUUUCAAAUAGUAUUAGUUUUGAUUGAAUGUCGAAUUGCAUUGCUUGCUACUAUGCUCAUCGGUUCGUUAUGAGAAUUGUUACAGAAUAUAUCAUAAUCUAUAUCUGCAGUUCUUAUAUCAUUGUUCCCUGCUGAAUUUUAGUUGUUUUUAUAUUUAUAUGAUAUGUCUGUUCAUUAACUUGUUGAAUGAGGUUGCAGUUUUCUGAUUUUAUGUGCAGGGCUUAGUCUCAUUGUCAUUCUGCUCUACCCAUCCUAGUUUUUGCUUCCCUAAUCUAUAGAUAUUUGAAUAUGAACCCAGUUAUUAUUAGUUUACUAAAUUGGAAGUAUGUUUUCAGACUGAAGGCAUGAAUUAUGGUCUUAGAGAUGUUAGCUGAGAUCAUAUUGGGUAUUCUUACAAUCAUUUCAAGAAUAUCAAAAAAAAAUUCCAGUCAUCCUUUUCUAUACCGUGUCUUGUUAAUGAUAGUCAAUGAUAUUUUGGGCUUUCAUUUACGAAUUUCUUCUUUAUGAAAUCUUAUAGGUGAUAUUUUUCAUAUUCAUUAAAUUCUUCAAUUGGAAUGUCAAGAAACACACCAGAGUAUUUUCUUGGUUUGAAUUAGUUUCUAGAUUUUGCAUUUACCAAUGGAGCUAUAGGAGAUAAAAUAAAGUGCCCAUGUCUUAUGUAUUGUUUUACAAAGUGGAAACCAAAAAAUGUGGUGUUUCACCAUAUGAUGGACAAGGAUUUUUCUCAACAUUACGUCACUUGGGUUAUGCAUGGAGAAAUGAAUGUUUUGCCUAAUUCCAGAAAAAUAGAGGUCGCUCAAGAUGCACCACCUUCUGAAAAUCUAUUGAAUUAUUGAUUAAUGAAUCAUUCAGGGGUUUAAAGAAUGAGGCUGUUGAUGCGGGCCCGUCACAAGUAGUGGGAGAAGAAGAAAAUUUGCAUGAUUUGUCUGGUUCAAAUAAUAAAGAUUAUUUUGAAUUGCUUAAAGACGGAAGUGAAGAUUUGUAUGAACGAUCCAAGUACUCAAAGUUGGAAUUUUUGUUAAAGCUUGAUCACAUAAAGUGUUCAUCUGGGUUAAGUAAUAAGGGAAUGACUAUGCUGCUAAAUCUACUUUGGGAUGCAUUUAAAUUUGCAAGGAUCCCUAUAUCUUUUUAUGAGGCUAAGAAAAUCAUCAACAAGUUGUUUCGUAAUUAUGUUAAGAUAGAUGCUUGCCCAAAUAAUUGUAUAUUGUACUAGGAAGAUGAUGUUAAUGCAAAAUCAUGCAAGUACUGUCACACUUCUAGAUGGAAGCCCGAGAACGAUAUCAAUCUUGAUCAUGCUCCUAGUACAAGUAAUAAACAAAAGUAGAAGCAAAAGAAGAAGCAGAAGAAGCCUGCAAAAUUUUUGUGAUACUUUCCAUUAAAAUCAAGAUUACAAAGAUUGUUUAUGUGCUCUAAUAUUGCAGAGCAUAUGAAAUGGCUAGUGGAGGAUGAUGAUAAAAAAGAUGGAAUAUUAAGGCACCCUCGAGAUAGUGAAGCAUGGAAAAGGCUUGACAUAAAUUAUCCUGAAUUUGCUUCUGAUCCUCGAAAUGUUUAAUUAAGAAUAGCUCGUGAUGUUUUCAAUCCUUUUGGAUCGAUAAGUACUAACUAUAACAUUUGGCCAGUGGUUUUGUUUCAAUACAAUCUUCCUCCUUGGUUAUGUAUUAAGUAGUCAAAUUUUAUCCUCUCGAUGAUCAUUUCAGGUCCACGUACAGUAGAAAAUAACAUAGAUGUAUAUCUACAACCACUUAUUAAGGAGUUGAAUGAGUUCUGGAGUGAAGGUGUGGAUACUUUUGAUUCAUCAAAGAAUGAAAUGUUCAAAAUACGAGCAACACUUAUGUGGACAAUUAGUAAUUUUCUUGGACUUGAUAUCUUAUCUGGGUGGAACACACAUACUGGUCUUGCAUGUGCUUCUUGUAAUUUUGAUGCAGAGCCUUGUUGACUUCGCUAUAGUAGAAAGUGGGUUUUAUUGACCACCAUCGAUUCUUGGCAAGAAAUCAAAAAUUUAGACUGAUGAGACAUCGUUUUAAUGAAAAUAUGGAAGAGAGAGUCCCUCCAAAGAAGUUAUCUGGGUCAUAAAUUUUGCAAUAGGUGAAAGAUAUCAAUGUCACAUUUGGAAGACAAUCAGAGUUGUAGAAAAGAAAAAGGAAAAAGAAUGUUUUGGAAGAUGCAACUCAACAAUGGAAGAAGAAAAGCAUUUUCUUUGAUCGUCCAUUUUGGGAGUUUAAUCUGUUGCUCCAUAAUUUAGGUCCGCUGCAUAUUAAAAAGAAUGUGUUUGACAAUGUUAUUUACACUUUGUUAAAUGAUAAAGAAAAGUCAAAGGAUCAUGCUAAGGAUUGAAUAGAUCUACAAGAUAUGGGCAUAAGGUGUGAUCUUUGGGUCGACGAGAUUGGUGCGUGUAAACUUGCUGCAUUUUUAAUUCCAAAGAAUAACAAAGUGGCCUUCCUCAAGACUUUAAAAAAUAUCUCAGUGUCAGAUGGUUAUUUAACUAAUAUAUCUUGUCGUAUUGAUUUGUAUUAAAAAAUUAGAUUAAAAUGCCAUGAUUAUCACAUUAUUAUGAAACAGUUGUUACCCAUAGCAAUUCGUAAUGUGCUUCCAAGACAGGUUGUUGCGACUUUGGUUGAGUUUUGUUCCUUUUUCAGGCAAUUUUGUUUGAAAAGUUUAAGUCUUGUAGACUUAAACAAGCUACAAAAUCAAAUUGUGGAAACUCUUUGCCAUUUAGAGAUUUUGUUUCCUCCAUUAUUUUUUACUGUAAUGAUUCCUCUAACUGUUCAGCUAGUUGAUGAGGUAAAAAAAAGUGGGCCGGUUCAUUAUCGCUGGAUAUAUUCUAUUGAAAGGUAAGAUAUUUGUUAUUCAUAAUCAUUUUAGUUGAUUUUGCAGUAGUAUUUCAACUUAAAUGCUUUGUCUUACACAUUAAUAUUUAUCGGUAUAGAUUGUUGGUCCAUUUAAAGUCCCUUGUCGGGAACAAAUCACAAGAAGAAGGUUCCAUAGCUGAAGGUUACAUAGUGGAAGAAGCUCUUACUCUUUAUUCUCAUUAUUUUGAGGAAAUUGAGUUAAGGUUAAAUCGACGUAAAUGUGUAAAUGAUGAACCAAGUCAAACUGAGGCUUUUGAAAAGUCAAGUAUGUUCCCUUAACAAGAUAAGCAUGUUGGAGGCUUCAUAAUAGAAUCAUUGACUCAUUUGGAGAAAAAACAAGCUCAUCUAUAUGAGUUACUCUAUUAUGCUCCCGUGAAGCCAUUUAUUGAGAAAUAAAUCUACAUUGAUUUGAUUUGUACGAUAUGUUUUUAGAAAUUUAAUUAAAAUUGCUAAUUAUACUUCUUUUAUAGUGAAUUUAGAGAUUACAUCGAAAGAAGUAAAAGAGGCUGAAGAGUUUCAGCAACAGAAAAAGAGAGAAGAGUUAGUAAAGAGUUUCCUGAUUGGUUUCCUAAGAGAGUGAGUGAAUGAUAUUAGAAUUUUUUUAAUAUAACAUUCUUAUAUCAAUUUGUAAUUUCUGAUAUAAGUGUUUAUAUAUUUAUAUUAUGAAUCCGGAUAUAGUAGAUACUUUCUAUGAUGAGAUAAAGUUCUAAGCACAAGGUCCAGCCCGAGAUGCAAGAAGAUUCAGCACUUAUAAUAUUAAUGGAUUCGAAUUCCUAACUUUUUCUAGAGAUCAAGGAUUAAAAACUCAAAAUAGUGGACUUUUUAUUGUCUCUAACACUUCUUGUGUCGCAUCUAGGGCAGAUAGACAUGCAACACCAGCAGACCUGCCAUAUUAUGGAAAGUUGGAAGAUAUUAUUGAGCUUAAUUAUUAUGGCUAAUAUAAGGUUGUUCUUUUUAAAUUCCAGUGGGCUCACACUACUCGAAAUAGAGGGUUCAAAAUAGAUGCUUAGAAGUUUAAUCGUAUCAACUUUUCCAAAUUAAUUCAUACCGGUGAUCGUGUGGAUGAUGACCCAUAUAUAGAAUCAUCACAAGAAAAUAUGGUCUACUGUGUUGAUGAUGAAAGUGAUAAAGAAUGGAGUGUGGUUGUACAUCUAAAAUCAAGAGAUUUGUCUGACAUGGGAGAGGUUGAUGAAGAGGAAAAAUAUGAGAAUGAGCCAUACCAACAACAAGAAUUUGAACAAUUUUUUGACGUUGAUUAUGAGAAUGUCCAAAUUACAAUAGAGGAGCAUAUGACUGAAUGGAUAUAUCAUUAUUUUUUAGUUUCCUUUAGCACUUUGUUUUUCUUGCUUGAUUGGUGAUUUAUUUCCAAGACUUCAUAUUUUCUGGCUAAGAAAAUUAUCUUUAUUCUUUAUAUAAUUCUUGAUACAUUUGUUUUGUUUUUCCAUUAUUAGUUUUUAAUUACGAUCGGAUCUUCUGGUAUGUUAUGUGGUUUCUUAUCUCAGGGCAAAAAACUGGAUGACAGGAACUGAUUGGGGGUCUUGAUUGUACUGUUCACAGAAACUUCUUUGGGAUCCAAGUAACGGAGUGAUUUUCUCAAUUUGAUUAGGCAGAUACAUUUGUUUUGUUUCUUCAUUCUUAGUGCUUAAUCAUGAAAGGAUCUUCUGGUAUGUUAUGUGGUUUCUUAUCUCAGUGCAAAAAACCGGAGGAUAGGAACUGAUUGGGGUCUUGAUUGUACUGUUCAUAGAAACCUCUUUGGGAUACUCGUAAUGGAGUGGUUUUCUCGUUUUGAUUAGGCAAUUACAUUUAUUUUGUUUCUCCAUUCUUAGUGUUUAAACAUGAAAGGAUCUUCUGGUAUGUGAAAGAUUGGAAAGAUUGUCAUGGAAUAUCUAACAACUGAAGAAUUCAGAGAAAAAAAUGAGAAAAUUAUAUUACAAUUCUAUACCUUAAAUCAGUCUCCUUAACAGUAAACUUGUAUGCUGCUUAUACCUUUACUAUAUUGCUUACUGCAUUAAUAUUUAGUACUUUUAAGUUUGGUUUUAAGCUCUAAAAGCUUUGGUAUUUUGCACUGUAUUCAACAUAUUGGUUUGUAGUAUUUACUUUAGACUUCUAGUGCUGUUGUUGUAAAUUUUAUUUUAUUUUUAGGAUCUCUACUCUUGUUGGUUAAAAUGUUAUUCAUGGACAUUAGGAGAAUUCUAUUACAUUCAUCUAAGCCAAACAUUGGUUGUUGGUUAAUACUUGAUUAUGCAGCUUUAAUAUGAAGUGAUUUAUUGCAGAAAAAUUUAGUGCUUAAUUUUUGUUCUUCGCAAUAGGUAUUGCUGCUUUCUCGUAGUUGACACUUUUACCAAGAAAGAAACUUACUGCAGAAAGAAUUUAGAUAAUUGAGGCCCCAUAUUUUAUUACCUAUGAAGCAUCAAACAAGCAAACAUACAAAAGCCCAUGAAAAUACUCUGCUAAUCUGAUAUAUACAUGUGUAAUAGCCAAGCAAGUUUCACAAUUUCCUACUCCCAACUAUGCGUCAAGCUUGGGUAUCUCAACAUCUCUUUUAACAGAAAAUUAUCAUUUCCAUUACGCCAAUGGAGCGACAGGAUUAGGAACAACAUCUAUUUUCCAAUUCCAGUAACCAAGAGGAUUAAUCACCUACCAAGGCUCGCGGUGUAUUCUCUAUGGAAAAUAGGGACAUUCUUGUCUGUGAAACAACUCUGACAAAUGCCAUAUUUGUAGUUAUAGUAGGAGCAUGCCAAUAAUCUCCAGUCCCAAAAGUCACCUAGGUUUUUUAAGCAAGUUUUCUGUUUGUUGGGAGGCUCGUAAGUCGUUCUGUGGGGCAAUCAGGCACCUCGGUUUCAGGUUAUGUGAGUUCUAAAAACUUUCCUUUAACUUCUUUUGCAAGAGGGGCCUGGAAAGGCAUGAAUGUCAUCCCACCCAUCUAUGGCCUUAGAACUUCAGGAAUCUCAACUCCAUCCUCCCUUUAGUAGUUCUCAAGUAUACAACGCAUUGUCCUUUCUAUUGCAGUUGUUAGUUCCUUUCUAGUAUUCUUGCAGUUAAAGUUAACUAGUAGCAGUAACGUGAAGACAUUCAUUUUUGUAAAAUGGUUUUGGUAUGACAAGGUAGAUAGGAAAUUUGGAAUCAGUGAGUACAUUAACGGUUACAGAUUCCCCUCAGAAUUAAAACUUUUCUUGGUUUCUUGUGAUCAAUUUGCUUUAAAGGGAAAUAAACACAAGUUUAUCAAAUAGUACCAGAUAUAACUGUAAUCAAAAGCCAAAUAUUGUAACGGUUUCUUAUAAUUAUUUGAUUAAUGUGCUUUAGUGAAGUCUACUAUAGUUGUGUUAUAGUGUUACUACUGUGAGGUGUAACUUCCCAGAUGUCAUCUUACUAAACACUACAUUAUUUACUGCAAAUAUGACAAGGUUCAAGCGGUUGGAGAAAAAGCAAAAACUAGGUCCGUUGGUAUCUACAUCACAAAGUACUGAAUCAGCACCUUCUUUUCUGGACAAAACAAAUCUGUCUCUGCCAAUUAAACAUGUACCACAACCAUCUCAACCAGUUUAUUCAGCAUCCCAUCUAGCUUUUAUAGAUAAGGACACUCCACAUCCGGGUCCAAUAGUUUUCCCUAAAUCACAACCAUCUCCAACAGAUCACUUGACAUCAUAUCCAUCUCUGAUUGUCCUGGACUCAUCACAGCUAUCUCCUGUUGGUCGGGACCCAUUACAGCCAUCUCCUGUUGGUCGGGACUCAUCACAUCCAUCACUUGUUGGUUGGAACUCAUCACAGCCUUCUUCUAUUGGUCGGGACUCAUUACAACCAUCUUCUGUUGAUCGGGACUCAUCACAUUCAUAUCUGGUUGGUCCAAACUCAUCACAGCCAUCUCGAUCAAUUCACUCUACAUGACAUCUGGGUAUGACAAAUCAGGACUCAUCACAGUCCAACAAAUCUGGACUCAUCAAAACCAGCUCCAAUUGAUGAGGUUGCAACCCAAAAAGGUUCUAGACGUGAACUGAAUAUGUAUUGGGUUGUAGAUGCAAUAGAUAAAUACUUCAGACUAUCAAUACAUAUUCAAUAUAUCUUUCUAAGCCAAUGUAAUUUCUCUCAUAGCUUCACCCAAUCUAUUUUCUUAUAAUAGAUUCAAAAAAUAAUGUCAAGAAAAUCAAAGUGAAAGCUAAGGAAGUACUGAAUUUAACAGGUAAAGAACGUAUCAUGGUUAAGUUUGAUGUUUAUGAUGAACCAUUUGGGGAAGCACACAGUCUACUUUCACGCUUUUGUAGAAUAUUAGCGUGUGAUUGCUUUUUAUUUCCAAUCAACUUUGACAAAUAGUCGAGUUUACCUAUGACAUACUUCAACCACAUCUUAGAACAUAUUACAAAGGUAUACGCUCUAAAUUCUGAUGACUAUACCACUGAUUAAUUUUUUCUUUGAAUUUUAUAUUUACCUGUAGUAGAAAAGCUAACCAAUAUUUUUAUUUUGAAGCCCAAAUUCUUCUUUGACAUAGCCGAAUCAAUUGCUCGACAACAUGUUUCUUUAUCUAUUAAAAAAAGUGGGCUAUAAAUAAUAUUAACAUGUCGAAUGAAGUUGAUGAUCCACUUAAAAUUAAAGCUCAGAUUAUGGAUGAGCUGUCAGAUGGGAUCCCACCGUAUCAGUGGAUUUCUUUUAUUGAAUAGAAUUUUAAAGAAUCAACAAAGGUAUUUAUGUAUAUGAAUUUCUUUAUAGUUGUAAAAUUAUUUUUUCUAAUUGAGGUUUAAAUAUAUUUUUGUAAGAAAAUGUGUCAAAGGAACCGUGAAAAUCGAAAGAAACAUACAAUUCCACACACCGGUGGCUCCAAAGCCAACGCUACAAAAAGGGCUGAAAUGGUGAGUGAAUUAACCUUGAAUGUAAUUAUUCCUAACUAGUAAAUUAUUUUGAUUAAGUUUUUUUAAUUUAUAGAUGGCCGAUACUGGACAACGGCCAGGACGAGCACAACCACGAUAUGUGUGAGUUAUACUUAUGUGCCAUAGACUCUUGUCGAGUAAUAAACUAUGGUAUGCCAAAUAAAUUUUUAUUUUUAAUUUAUUUUGACAAAAAAAUUUCUAUAUGUAGGAAAAAAUUGGUCAUAUUUGAGCCAAAGCGCCAUAGAAGAGUCUUAAAUUUCGCCAAAUGAUGUCGUUGGUAAGGUGCUAGGGCCAAAGCACUCUAGAUGGCAGAGAUGCUUGAGAUUAGGAGCUGCACCUAGUAGAGUUCUUGAACAAGAUAGAACUCAUUUUGGUGGUACAAGUGCUUCAUGUAGUGGAGGAUUUUGUUUGCUCCAAUGUUGAGAAAACUUUGCUCAAAUGAUGAAUUCUCACAAUCAGCUAAUGAGUGUGUAACACCCAGCAUUUCGGACGAGAACUAAAAUCAUCAUUUCCUUCACGUAAAGGUUCCAAAAGCCAUAAAUCCAAUGCAAGUUUAGUGUUUUAAUAAAUUAUGUAGAGUGGAAACCUCUUUGACCAGGAAUUGAGAUCAUAGAGGUCCCCAGGCUCAAGGACAAGUUGAAAGUUUUCCUAUCGUUCGAAUUUUAGUGAGCGAUGAAACUUAGGUCAACUUCAAUUGAUCAUUUCUAUUUAUAUAUAUUGAAUUAGAGUGCCUACUAUAUAUCAAAUGAAAGGUAUUCGAAUUAUCUUUCCAACGAUACCAAUUUCUCAAAAAUUACACUUUCGAGAAACAAGUUAUGGCUUUGUAAAGUGGAGCGUGUCGUGCAGCAUAAGGUGUGCGACACACACCCUAACUUAUGCCAUAAGGUGUGCGACGCACAACCUAAUGUGUGCGAUAAAGAGUGCACUGCACAACCUAUAUUAUGCGAUAAGGUGUGCGCCAGAUAUAUUAUUACUCAAGUGACUUAAACACUCCGUUUUUGGGGCAAAAUGGUCCUUUUCCCACCCUUAUUUAGCCAUAAACACGAAAUUCAGUUCCCAAAUACCCCAAAAUACACCUUCAUUCAUCAAAAUUUCUCAAGAACUUUCCUUAGGGUUUCAAAAUAAAAACACAAGCUACUCAAGAUUCAACCGUGGGUUUUUGAAACUAAUUGUAUAUUUGCAAUCCCCAGAACGUAGGCUUCAAGAAGCACCUAUCAUCUUCGCAUAUAGAGGUAAGUGAGGUUAUCUCAAAAAUCUCAUGGGCUUAAAAAUUCAUUUUUUUAAAAUGGGGAUUUUGAAAUUAAAAAUAUGAUUAUGUUUUAAACGUUUAUGAUAUUGAUUUGGUAUUAAGGCCCAUUCCUGAAGUGAUUUGAUAUAUGAUAUACGAAUAUGCAUGUAUUCCAAAAAGAUGUUAACUUGAUAGCAUGAAUCAUAUGAAAAUCCCUCUGUUAAUAUGAUUUUGUAUUAAAUCCUCAUAAGAUGUGAAUUGUUUGAAAUCAUCUUGAUAAGCAUAACAUGAAAUAUUUUGAAAAUGGUUAUGAUUUUUGACUUGAAAUGAGAGGGUUGUUAUGUUGAAAAAUGAUGAAUAUAAUGGAUUCAUAAAAGAAUGAUGUGAUAUUGAUGGCUUGCAAAUCGGGUAUGACGAUACCCUACAGAAUAAGAUAUGUAAUUGAGUUAAAUAGAGUUUGAUGCAUUGAUUUUACAUGAGAUAGUUGGAUGCCCGAAGAAGGCAUUUGAGUGUAAGGGCUCAUCGCUGGAAACCAUGUUUGUCGACAUGGGGAUUUGGUACCAGGCUAAGUGAUCUUGUGUACUUGACUUUAUGUCAUUCCAAAUUGGGACUAUGGUUAGGAUCCCAGGCUGAGUGAUCUUGGGCACUACUAAACUUUAUUGGGUCGAGACAACCUGCUGUGUGAUCUCGUGUAUAUUCCCCUCACUUAUACUCUAAUCUCGGCGGCAACCGAGAUUUGACAGUUGGUGUAAAUGUUAUACGUAGGGUAUUCCCCCUAGCUCAGUUGUAUUACAUUGUUGUUGAAAACUAUUACAUUAUGCCCAUGUGUUUUCAAAUGAUUUGAUAUGAAACUACUUUCUAAUGGUUCUCACCUAUAUUUGGAAAAAAAUAUUAGAUUUUGUUUUUGAUUUCUCUGCGUACCAGUACUUUUGUAUGGACCCCCUUUCCUCCCAGGUUUGGAGGCACAGUUUAGGGGUCUAGAUAACUAGCAGAUCUCUUCCGACAUAUUUGCAGAAUCAAGUGGUGAGCCUUCUAUAUUUCGGAAGGCCUGAUGUCUAUCAGUUCGUUUAUCAUUUAGUAGUUUUGGGUCUAUUGGGGGGACCUUGUCCCAGUUAUCAGACAGUAAUUUGUUUCAGUCAUGUAUUUGAGAUUUCGGAGACGGUUUUUCACAUGUCAAUAGAAGUUGUGGGACAUUAUUUCCCCUAUUUUGAUUUCAUUUGAUUUAUGACCAUGUUUUCUGUAAUAUUGUGUAUCUUCCGCAAUCUUAUUAUCAUAUGAAUUAUGUCUAUGAUUAUCAUAUAGAUAGAGGUAUUUCGGGCCUUCAUGGUUUGGAAUGCUCGUCACGGCCAGGGCCCGAUUCAUGUCGUGAAAAACUUGGUAUCAAAGCACGGUUCAUGGUCCCAGGGUUUCUGCAAAAUCGCAUUUGGUAGAGUCUUGUUUAUGCGUGUGUAGCGCGCCAGACUUAUAAGCAGGAGGCUACUAGGCAUUUAGGAAUGUCUCUCUUUGUUUAUUUUCUAGUUCGUGAAAUAGAGUCAGAAUAUUCCUCUUUCAUACUCUAAUUCGUGCUACGGUGUCUCCCAUUAGAAAGUAAAAGAAAAUCAUCCCAAAUUCUUUCCUUACGCUAAUGUCCUCAGCUAUGUCUCAUUAUAGAGGUGACUCAAGUGCAGAAGUUAAGAAUCUAAAUGGUAUGGUCCUUUCUGAUUGAAGCAUAUUAGAGUUAAAAUUUGUGCAAGGACUUGAGAAGUGUCCAUUAGUGCUUCAAUGUGUAUUGAUUCUGAUGUAAACAUUGAUCCUGAUGGAAUCGUGCCUUUCAGCUUGAGGUAUUAAUUGCAUUUAGUCCCCUUCAAAUUCAUGUUACAAAUGUCUUGCUUAAGGGGGAUGAUGUGUAGUAGAAUGUUGGAACUGUAUUUCCACCCGAGUAGUAGUAUGAAUUAAAGUGUUGUUGUCAUGACUUAUUGGUAGUGAAAUUAGACCAAGAAGUUGGUGAUGUGAAGUCACCAAGUUAGAAUUCAGAGCCAGGGUGAAUUUUAGGUAAAUGAGUAUUUUAGUUGAAUAACCGAUGAUCGAGAAUGAUUUACCCCCUUAUGAUGAUAGACUAAUAUGGUAACUAGUAGCAUGUGUGGAUAGUAUGGCAGUCCGUGGAGGAAGUGUUUGACUCCAAUUUUAUUUAUACAGAGUAAGAUGUGUAUUCUUUGUUCAUUAGAUAUUGCAUAUUAAAUUUCUAUCUCAUAUAAUCUUGUCAUCAAGGUGUUGUUGAAAAAAAUAAAGUCUAGUGAAGUCGUGUGGGGCUUUUUCAAUUCACUAGCAUAGUUUACAUGUCAUUCAUCUCAUUUUCUUGUUAAAAAUACAAAAUCAAAGUCUAGUGAAGCCGUGUGAGGUCUAUUUCGAUUCACUAGAAACUUGUUGUUCUUGUGUUGGUUUAAUAUCUAUAUAUAUAUAGCUGAAUCUGUUUGCAUGAGAUUGAGUUGGUAAAGAGGUGAUUCAUCCUUGUGUGUUAGUUUAGUAGAAGGUAGAGAAGGAAUUGUUAGUUAGGGUGAUUUGUCGGUCGCUUGAAGUAUUAAAAUGGCUAUAUUAGCCAGUAAGUUGUAAGUAUAGACUCAUGGUUGUUUGUGGAAUUUUAAAGUAGUCUAAAUGUAUGUUUGGGUAAGUAAGUAUGAGGUGAGAAAUCCAUAUAAGUAGAAAAUAUUGUAUGGGGUUAUAAUAUAAGAUUAAGGUUGAUCAUGUCUAUUAUGUAAGUUUAUCCCUAGACCUUCUUUUCGUUGGUAAUUGUAAACUAGUACUACUUGUGAGAAGAUAUGUAGUGAUUUUUGAUGUGUUUGUAUAGUAUGUCCCAAAUUUUAUGGACUAGCAUAUUAUGUGGCAUUUUUCAGUAGUGAUAGAAGAUUGGUACCGGACUAUAUGCUUGAAUUUAAUGUAGAAUGUGGUGGUACAAAUAGUGAGAUGAGAUUAAUGAUGUAUGUUUUGUGGGAAAAAAAUUAGUAGGCUUGAUGUGUUAAAAUAGUACGUGCUAAUGAGUUAUGAUAAGGAAGACCAUAAGGUCAAGAUCAAUUAUUUGAUGUUUGGAAGUUCUAGUGUACUAAUGUUUGUUGAUGUCUAUUUCAUGGUAUCCAAGUGAGAAUCAUGUGUAAGGUUGGGUUGUAAAAUCAUGUUUAGCACUAGACAUUAAGCUUUGAACAAUUGAUGUCCAUGAAGGUGGAUGUGAUAAUAUCUUGGUUAAUGAUACUAGUUUUAUGCAACUAAUCUAAUAGGCUUGAACAGUAUAUGCAAGAGCUUAAGUUUAUUUGAUUCGUAGUGAAGUAUGAUGUUGCAUAUAUAAUGUAGAAGUAUGCCCAAGGUGAUCUGAGGUUGCGGUAUUUUCUAAUACUAUUACACGUUUUGUGUGACAAGUGGUACCGUUGAGUUACUAGGUGGAUGAAGACUAUUUAGAUGGUAUAUGGUGUUCUAAAUAGCCAAGUUAAGGAGUUUUUAUUGAUAGUGUUGAGCCUUUUUAUAUGAUCUUGAUUCUCAUAGUAGAGAGAUGUAAGUUUGGACUUACGAUAUUGGUAUGCUAUGUCGGAAGUAGUAUGAUUCAUUGAAGGCUUGGUGAUAUCCAUGUUGACUGGUAGAUUCUAAGUUUGAGUUUUUGAAGGUUGAUCUAAUUGAAAUAAGAGUUAAAUCACUAGAUGGUGUGCACUCCGACUAUGGGGAUACCUAUGAAGACCGGAAGUUAGUAAGUGUGCAAGUAUUAUAUGAUGACUACUGGGUCUAUAGAAUGAUAAAGGGUAUCUCAGAAGGUAAUGUUAACAGUGGGUUUUCCACUUUCAGGUGUAGUCAUUCGGGUUAAGUGCCAUGAUAUGCGUGUAUAGUAGUUUUCUAGACCCCAGAGUGCAGUAAGUGUACUUCAGUUUAGAGUCUAGUAAGGGAUCUCCCAAACUUAAUAUGAUGGCUUGAAGCUAAGGGGGAGAUGAUAGAGCGAAUAACUAAGUCAGGCUUUCAGAUUCUAGUAGUGAUGUCCGUACGACAUAAAACAUCAGAAGGGAAGAGUGAGGCUCAACCCAUUCCGGUCUCACUAUUUUUUAGUUAUCCUAAUACCUACUCAUACCUCACGUUUCAGUUCCAUGAUCAUAGUUCAUGUUCAUUUUAUAUGAUAGAAAAUCACGUGCUCUUCCAGAUUCUUAAAUGAGGAACUUCAGUUCAUUCAGGCGUCGGAAUCACAUUCCAUACGUUAUGAACUCUAAAUUGGAUCAUCAGCUGUAUGCCAAAUUUUCCAAGUGUGAAUUCUGGUUAGACGUUAUUGCCUUCCUGGGGCAUAUUGUGUCCAGUGACGGGAUAAGAGUGGAUGCCCAGAAAGUUGAAGCAGUGAGAAAAUAACCCAGACCCACGACUCCAACCGAUAUUCAGAGCUUCUUGGGUUUGGCGGGGUAUUACAGAAGGUUCGUAGAGAGUUUUUCUUCCAUAGCUGCUCCAUUUACUAAACUGACUCAGAAAAAGGUGAAGUUUGUGUGGUCUGAAUUAUAUGAAAAUAGUUUUGAGAAGUUGAAGGACAAGCUGACUACUGCUCCUGUUUUGACCCUUUCCGAGGGUGUAGAUGAUUUUGUUGUUUAUUGUGAUGCGUCCCGUGUGGGACUUGGUUGUGUAUUAAUGCAGCGUGUUGAGGUGAUAGCUUAUGCAUCUAGGCAGUUAAAGGUGUAUGAGUGCAAUUACCCCAUUCAUGACUUGGAGUUAGCAACCGUGGUGUUUGCACUUAGAAUCUGGAGGCACUAUCUCUAUGGAGUGCAUGUUGAUAUUUAUACUGACCAUAAGAGUUUACAGUAUGUUUUCUCACAGAAAGAAUUGAACCUCAGGCAGAGGCGUUGGAUGGAGCUUUUGAAAGACUAUGAUAUGAGCCAGCAUUACCAUCCAGGAAAGGCAAAUGUUGUAGCCGACGCCCUCAACAGGUUGUCUAUGGGAAGCCUUUCUCAUGUAGAAGAAGAAAAGAAAAAGAUGGUGAAGGAUAUUCACCGUCUUGCAAAUCUGGGAGUACGACUCUUAGAUUCCAAAGAUGGAGGGGUGAUUGUUCAUGAGUUAGCUAAGUCAUCUCUUUAUGCUGAAGUUAAGGAGAAGCAGGUUGAAGAUCCCAUCUUGAUGCAAAUCAAGAAAGAUAUGGGUAAACAAAAGGUUAUGUCGUUUUAAAUUAGUGGUGAUGGUAUUAUGAGAUUUCAGGUUAGGUUGUGCGUUCCGAAUGUCGAUGGGCUAUGGGAAAGAAUCCUUAAUGAGGCACACACUUUGAGGUAUGUCAUUCACCCAGGCUCUACUAAAAUGUACCAUGAUCUGAAAACCGAAACUAGUAUGAUUCUAUAAGGGUGAUGGUAGAUCGGUUGACCAAGUCAGCCCACUUUUUGCCUGUGAGGACUAAUUAUUCGGGAGAAGUUUAUGCUAAGAUUUACAUUGAGGAGAUAGUUCGAUUGCAUGGGGCACCAUUGUCCAUUAUAUCCGAUAGAGGUACGCAGUUUUCAUCUCAGUUUUGGAGAUCCUUUCAGAAGGGUUUAGGUACACAAGUGAAUUAGAGCACAGCUUUCCACCCUCAGACGGACAGACGGAUGGGCAAGCUGAGCGUACCAUUCAAACCCUCGAAGAUAUGUUGAGGGCAUGCGUCAUUGAUUUCAAAGGUAGUUGGGUAGAUCACCUGCCAAUGGUUGAAUUCGCUUAAAAUAAUAGCUACCAUGCCAGCAUCAAGAUGGCUCCUUUUGAGGCUUUGUAUGGGAGGAGACGUAGGACUCCGAUAGGAUGGUAUGAAGUAGGUGAGACUCAGUUGUAUGGGCCUGAUCUUGUUCAUCAGGCGAUGGAGAAAGUGAAAAUCAUUAGAGAACGACUCAAGACUGCUCAGAGUCGUCAGAAGUGCUAUGCCGAUGUUCGGAGAAGAGAACUAGAGUUUGAAAUUGGUGAUUGGGUGUUUCUCAAGGUUUCUCCUAUGAAAGGAGUUAUGCGGUUUGGAAAAAAGAGAAAAUUGAGCCCUCGUUAUGUAGGGCCAUAUCAGAUUUUGAAGACAAUUGGUACAGUUGCAUAUGAGUUAGAAUUGCCUGCAAGUUUGGGUUUCGUUCAUCCGGUAUUCCAGGUAUCCAUGUUGAAUAAAUGCAUUGGAGAUCAUUCUAUGAUAUUGCCAGUAGAGGGUAUCAAAGUGAGCAUUGGAGAUCAUUCUAUGGUAUUGCCAGUAGAAGGUAUCAAAAUGACAGACUCCUUAUCUUACAAAGAAGAGCCCGUUGAAAUUUUAGAUCACCAAUUUCGAAAGCUGAGGAGCAAAUAAAUAGCCUCAGUAAAGGUACUGUGAAGGAAUCAGAAGGUCGAAGAAGCAACUUGGGAGUCAGAAGAUGACAUGAGAAUUAGAUAUACCAAUUUGUUUGCUUCGAUGAGGGAGGAUACAGAAGGUACUAUUCUUAUCUUAUCUUUCCUAGUCCAUUAUUAUGCUUGAAAUCGUGUCUGUCUGUGUCCCGCAUCAUCAUUCGGGGACGAAUGAUCCUAAGGGGGGGAUAAUGUAACGCCCUGCACUUUGGGCUAGAAUAAAAAUCAUGAUUUCGAUGCGUUGCUAAUCCGAAGCCAUAAAAUCCUAUGUCAAUACGGCAUGUUAAUUAUAGUGUAACAUGUGAAUCCGCUCAAGCUUUGAAUUUAGACCAUAGAGGUCCUUCAACUCAAGGAUGAGUUGAAACUAUUUUGGUCGACUAAGUUUUAGUGGACGUUGUAAAGUGUGUCAUCUUCCAUCGACCAUAAUUCUCUGUAUAUGCCGAAUUAGGAAGCCUACUAUGUGUCAAAUGAUAGGCAUUCGAGUUAGCUUUCCAACGAUAUCAAUUUGGCUAAAAUCAAACACCCGAGCAAGAAGUUAUGACCUUUCAAAGUGAUAAGCGACGCCUAACCAAUCUCCCAUGGCCACUGGAAAGCAUAGGCGAUAGCCAAGGCGGCGCCUAUGUGAACAUAGGCGAUGGGAUGGGCGGCGCCUAUGUAAGAAAUUCUGGAAAUUUAAACACUCCGUGUUGAGGACAAAGUGGUCCUUUUCCACCCUUACUUAGCCCUAAAACACGAGAUUUAGUUCCAAGGACCCCAAAAUACAUAUUCUUUCAUCAAAAGUGCUCAAGAUUCUCCUUAGGGUUUCAAAANNNNNNNNNNNNNNNNNNNNNNNNNNNNNNNNNNNNNNNNNNNNNNNNNNNNNNNNNNNNNNNNNNNNNNNNNNNNNNNNNNNNNNNNNNNNNNNNNNNNNNNNNNNNNNNNNNNNNNNNNNNNNNNNNNNNNNNNNNNNNNNNNNNNNNNNNNNNNNNNNNNNNNNNNNNNNNNNNNNNNNNNNNNNNNNNNNNNNNNNNNNNNNNNNNNNNNNNNNNNNNNNNNNNNNNNNNNNNNNNNNNNNNNNNNNNNNNNNNNNNNNNNNNNNNNNNNNNNNNNNNNNNNNNNNNNNNNNNNNNNNNNNNNNNNNNNNNNNNNNNNNNNNNNNNNNNNNNNNNNNNNNNNNNNNNNNNNNNNNNNNNNNNNNNNNNNNNNNNNNNNNNNNNNNNNNNNNNNNNNNNNNNNNNNNNNNNNNNNNNNNNNNNNNNNNNNNNNNNNNNNNNNNNNNNNNNNNNNNNNNNNNNNNNNNNNNNNNNNNNNNNNNNNNNNNNNNNNNNNNNNNNNNNNNNNNNNNNNNNNNNNNNNNNNNNNNNNNNNNNNNNNNNNNNNNNNNNNNNNNNNNNNNNNNNNNNNNNNNNNNNNNNNNNNNNNNNNNNNNNNNNNNNNNNNNNNNNNNNNNNNNNNNNNNNNNNGUGUCUCUCCCUCACUUAUACUCUAAGCUCGGCGGCAACCGAGGUUUGACAGUUGGUGUAAAUUAUGUAGGGUAUUCCACCUAGCUCAGUUGCAUUUCAUUAUUGUUGAGAAAAACUAUUGCAUUACACCCAUGUGUUUUCAAAUGAUUUGAUACGAAAUUGCUUUAUAAUGGCUCUCAACUAUAUUUUGUAAAAAUAUUAUGUUUUUCUUUGAUAUCUCUGCGUGCCAGUACUUUUGUGCUGACCCCCUCCCCUCUCCAACCUCUCAAGUUCAGAGACCCAGUCUAGGGGUCAAGAGAAUCAGUAAAACUUUAAGACAGAGCUGUAGAGACAAGUGGUGAGCCUUCUAUGUUUCGGAAGGUCUUAUGUCCUGCAGUCCUUUUAUCUUAUAUUCAGUUUUUGAGUCUGCUGGGGGCCUUGUCCCAGUUUUCAGAUAGACAUUGUUUCAGUCAUAUAGUAGAGAUUUCACAGACGAUUUUAGAGAUGUUGAUUUAGAUUGUGGGACACUAUUCCCUAUUGUCGUUUUCAUAUGAUUCUUGACCAUGUUUUCGUUAUAUUGUGUUUCUUCCGCAUUAAUUUGAUCAUAUGAAUUGUGUGCAUGAUUAUCAAACAAAUAGGGGUGUUUCGGGCCUCCAUGGUUUGAAAUGUUCGUCACGGCCAGGCCCUGGUUCGGGUCGUGACAAUAUGAUAAGGAACCAUGUACCCUGCUAGUUCCUAGUAUGAUGAGUUCCCAGUUUGUUUAGCAGUCAGAAUCCCUUUUCGUAAGUUAUGAAUUCAAAAAAUUCAGAUCAUGCAGUUCAUGACUCUUGUGCACAUGUGAUACUCUUAACGAUUAGUGAAAAUUCAGAUUUAUAUCCGGUACGUCCUCAUAUUAGAUCUCUUCAAUGAUUCCAUGCCGUGAAUGCUCUAUUCCUCACGCCUCAGUAGGGUAUCAAGUUAUGCUUAGUACUCCCCUCAUGUUCCGGAUUCCGGUAUUCCAAUUUUUCAGUGACUUUUUCCCUUAGGUCGAGAUAGUGAUGAUGAACAGUUGUUUAGAUGGGAAAAAAAAACAUUUCUUGUUGAUGAAAGAUGGUUGUAUUCUUAUGUGAGUUAAGGCGAAAAUUGUAGAGUAAGAUUGAGGCCGAGUCAUUGAUAAAUGUCAAGGUUAGUUGAAGUUUUAUGUGUUAUAUUAGGGAAAAAUUGUUGUGCGCUUGUUUUAUGUAAGUCUAUAAGUUGAAAGAAUUUUCAGGUGAAGUUUCGUUUAUGGCUUGGUUAAUUAAGGAUAUUUUAUGUGUAUCAUCUGAAUAGUGCAGGGAAGUUGUUAUGGAUAGAAGUAUUAGAGAAUAUGUGAAGUAUGCUUUAUGAGUGGUUGUUUAGAAGUGCACAUGUGGGUAUGAAGAUAGGCUUGAAUGUCAUGUUUAUAUGCAUAUGGAUGGAUGCCUUGAGUGUUUGUAAAUGUCUAAUAUGAAGUUGAAGGUGAUUGCUGGAGUGGCAAUAAGAAUUAUGCAGGAGAUGAGGAAUUGUGAAAUGCAGGGUGUGCUAAAUUCAUGAUUCAGUAAGAUCAGGUUCCCAGUUUAAAUUUUUCCAAUUUCGUUCAGAAGUUAACAAGGGUAGUUUGGACUUUUUUUCAAGUCUCUUAAAAUGUCCAAACAGGAGAUUUAGACCUCUACAAGCAUAAUAUACGACAUUCUCAAGAUUUCCCUCAAAACAAAAACCCUAGUUCAUAUACUUCUCCUCCAAGAAACUCAAGAUUCAACCAUGAAUUUUCAAAAUUGAUCGAAGAUUUGGAAUCCCCAAACCGUAGGCUUCAAGGAUCAGUCAUUAUUCUUUAUAAUCGAGGUACGCGGGGUUUUUCUAAAAUCUCAUGGGUAUAGAAAUCAUGAUUUUAAGAAAGGGAUUUUUGAAUUUAUGAAUACAUGCAUGUUUUAGAAGCUUCGAUAAUAUUGUUUUGGUCUUUAGGCCUUCCCCCAAAUUGAUUUGAAUUGUAUAUAUGAGUGUAUGCAUUGAAAACCGUGAAUUAUGAAUCGAGAGUAUGAAAUAUAUAAUCUCUCUCCUAUUACUUUGUUAUUUGAUUUACAAGUUAUGAAUCCUUACAUUUUAUGGUUUACAGAAUGAUUCAAGAUACUAUUUAUCUUAUGUGAAAUUCAUAAUGAUUAAGAAUGGGAGAGAGGAAUGCUUUAAUGAUUUUAAGUGUUGAGAUUGAUAAACAAAGAAACUUCAGGAAUGUUUUUGAGAAGUUGGCCACUACUUAUUGAAAUUGUUGAAUGAAUGGAAAGCCUUUGCAUGAUUUUUGACUUAUGAUUUGAGAUAUGACUCUUCUUACACUAUAUGCAUGAUCAAGUGGCCUGAACAUUGUUUUAGAAUAAAAUAAUCAUAUAUGGCUCAGAAUAACGACUUGCAAGUCUUGGUAUGACGAUGCCAACUCAGACAAUGCCAUAACUAAAACAGACUAAUACAGAAAUCAGACUUUCAUAUUUUAAAAUUUCAGAAUGAUGCAUGUUCAGAAAAGGCUAAAACAGGGAAGAGGGCAUGAGUUCAGAUAACUCAUUGCCCAAAACCGUGAUUUGCCGAUCCGGGUAUAUUAUAUUACGCUGGCCUAGUGCUAUGUGGCGUAUCAAAAUCAAACACUCCAACCCUUGCGGCAUACUUGGGUUGGGGGCUUCCCCGCCAAGUUAAUGGCGGAUUCCAUAUUAGCUCGUAGAAUAUCAGAGUUAUAGGGGAGUUCCACCUAACUCAGAAGUAAUACAAAGAACAGAUAGUGCAUUGACAAGAAUGCCUUAUGAUUUUCAGAAAGUGCCCAUGUAUUUUGAGAACUGUUUAUGCAUGAUGUUUUAACAAAUUGCUCUUCACUAUUUUACUUAUAUAAAAGUUUUAUUUUGGAUUACUUUGUAUACUAGUACAUCUGUAUUGACCCCCCUCCCCCUUCCUCCCUCCAGGUUCUGAGGCUCAGUCUAAGGGUCCAGAAAAGCAAUAGAUUUUAUCAAACAGAGUUGCAGUGUCCAGUUGGUGAGCCUUCUUUAUUCCAGAAGGCCUGUUUACUUUUAGACAACUAUUAUUAGAUAUGGUUUUGGUCUACUGGGGGCCUUGUCCCAGUUUUCAGAACAAUUUUGAGAUGUAGUAGAGAUUUCGCAGACUGGGUCAAAUCUUAUUCAGAUGUUUUGAAUUGCAGUUUUCUUUCUUAUGUCUUGAAACCCAAGGUUAAUGACCAUGUUUCCGUAUCAGAUUUUAUUUUCGCAUUUUCUUUUAUGAUAUGAAUGUUGUGCAUGAUUACCAGAUCAGAUAGAGAAGGACAUUCGGGCCUUCAUGGUUCGGGAUGUUCGUUACGGCCAGACCCUAGUUCGGGUGGUGACAACUUCGGAGUUCUGAUGGGAUCUGGUGCGUUAGUGUUGGUAUGAUCCGGUCCAAAAAAGCCUCUAACAACCGAAUAUCAACCUAUGUCAGGACAUGCCCCCGAUUGUAUCCGAAAGAAGUCCAAAGAGAUACUCUACUACAUAAGAGAAACAAGACUAUGAAAUGACAAAGCCUCCGAGGGAUGGAAGCUCACGACUUCAAAGUUGAUCAACGAACAAAUCUGAAUCACCUAGCUCUGCACAAGAUAACCGAAACACCCCCAGGACUCUGCAUUGCAUAGGGAUACAGCGUCCGGGGGCGGUUAGUAGGAUGAGCACUAGCAUGUAAGUCAAGAAUAAGGGACAAAAUAAUGGCAUUUCAAAAUAUACAAAAUCAGUCAAAUCCAAUGCACAUAAUCUAACGCAUAUAGAGAGAGAGAGAUACACACAUACACAUACACAUACACAUACACAUACACAUACACAUACACAUACACAUAUGCAUAAAUACAUAUACAUAUACAUGUACAUCUACAUACAUAUACAUAUACAUACAUAUAUAUAUAUAUACAUAUACAUAUACAUAUACAUAUAUAUAUAUAUCACUUGCUGGGAUAGGGAACAAGACUUAGCAUGAACUUUAAAAUUUUUACCUAGAAUGUACAGCUUGACUAUCAUAAAAACCACCCACGCGCUAUAUGGGUCCAGUGUCACCCCCUAGAUGGGCGUAUUAGUCGUACGAACCGAAGAUAUCAUCGAAGGUCGGGGAUUGCCUUGUACCUUUCGUCCUCCAUGAUACAUAUGUACAUAUAUACACUUGGGGUAUUUCCUUGUACCCCGCAAGCACACGGUCAUCAAGACCAACCCUCAUGUCGGCAAACAUGAGUUUUCAGUAUCAGUUCUUCGGACCCACACCUUCACGGCUAGCUAUCACAACCCCUAUUAAGCCCAAUUAAAACAUUCAACACAUAACCCAACAGUUACAUGAAGGGGUCAAUCAUCAAGGCAUCAUUAAGUGGUAUUGUCAUACCGACUAUAGCUUGCAAGCAAAGUCAUUAGCCAACACUUUUGGAGAUUUCCUCGUACCCCACAGACUCCAUUAUUAAAAUCGCUUGAGGGAUUCCCGUGUACCCCACAAGGUUUUCAAGACCUUUUUGACAUCAAAUUAGCCAAUUAUGUCAUGCAUUAGUUUCAAAGUAGUAAAUCAAACCAAACACUUUGGGGAUUCCAUUGUACCCCUAUCACCAUAGUUUACAAAAUUAGGGAAUCCAUCGUACCCCGAAUUCAUUAAUCCUUUUCAUAUCAAUGCAUUAAUUCAAGUUACAAAACUAUAUUCAUUGACAAUUUCGAAAACAUGUUGAGGGCAUUCAAUUUUCAAAACCAAAAUCAAGUAAUUGGGGAAUCUGUAGUACCCCAAAAUUUAUUUAUCAUUCCCAUGCACCCCACAAUAUUCAAAAUCAAUAGUAAAGCAUGAAUGUUGCACAAAUGAUCAUGGAAAAUUAAUAAAAUAACCAAUCAUGUCAAAAUCCCUCAACUAUGAAAAACCCACAUUCAAAACCAUACAUUAACAAUCAAUGUCGUGUUGUUAAUAAAAUUAUAGUUCAGGGGAAAGAGAUACAUGCCUAAAAUAUCAAGGAUUACGGAAAGAAAUCAACGCUUGAAGCUUUAGAUGCCCAACCCUGAGAAAACCCUAGGUAGUUCUCUUCUCUUUCUUAAGGAAAGAUGAUUAGGGGAUUUUGUGAGAGAUAAGACGUGUUUAAAGACGUUAAUUUCGUUCAUAUAGGAUUAGGAACGGUUAUAGGGCGUGAAAAGACCUUAACACAAAAUGGAACAAUUUAUGACGCUUGGCUUUUGCUUGCCAACGCAUGGCCAAAGCCAACCCGAGGCAGUGUGCUUUGGCGAUUGCUCCGCGACGCAUACCCAACGCGGACCCUGGAAAGGGUCCCACUCAAACACCUAUAAAUUUUGAUUCUGAACUCAGAUUGACAAACAGUUGGUAGCGUUGGAAACAAGACUCAAAGGGAUUUAAUUUGAUAUAUUAUGGUCCACAUAAAUCCUCAUAUUCUAGGAGUAAUGGUCGCUGGAAGUUGACCCAAGAAAAAUCAUUGACUAAAACUCAACCGGUAAGAAAGUGCUCAACUUAACUUUGAGCUAGGGGCUUGUAUGACGUAUACUCAUCUCCAAAGAUGUUCUCACACUAAAGUAUUGAUAUUCACAAUUAUUUCCAACUAUAAACCAUUGGAUGCAGGUCUAUAUACAUCGAAAAGAUGGUUCAACUUUAGCCCCAAAAAAGGGGUGUUACAGUGUCGGUCUUAGUCGCGGUAGAAGGGCACUCCCUUUUUCGUUUGACCACAAGCUAAUAAACUAUAAAUAUGUCAUCCACGUAGCUUCAGACGAGGAGCUUUGGAGUAACUGGUAAAGUUGUUGUCCUGUGACUAAGACGUCAUAGGUUCAAGUCAUGAAAACAGCCUCUAACAGAAAUGCAAGGUAAGACUGCAUCAAUAUACCCUUGUGGUCGGGCCCUUCACCGGACCCACACAUAGAGGGAGCUUAAGUGCCACGGGAGAAGCAGUGUUAUUCCUCUAUCAGUUGUUGAUCCAAAAAGUAUUAAUGCGAUUUAAGUUUAGAAUCUUGAGGUGAAUUUUGAAUUUCCUGAAACAGUGAGUCCUAAGUCUUGUAUUUAAGGGAUUCAAAAUAUUACACAUAAAAAUAAUAUUACAGUGUAAUUUUUUAUAGAAGGGAUUCGGGUGAACAUUCUCCCACCCUUUUAGAUCGGCCCGUCCUCUAUAGGGAUAAUUACAACCAACCUCUUAUUUCCAUAUGAGAUAUCCAUUGACAAAUUCAGGGAAAAUCACCAAUUUUGAAGUGGUUAAAAUUCACCAAUGGAUAGCAUCAGAUUUUAGAAUACUAGGGGAAUGAACAGGCCAGGAAAGUAAGAAGAAAUGAACCUCUUCUUGCACAAUAGCAAAGCUAGUCUGUUUGAACUCCUAGAGACCAAAGUCAAGAAACCCGAGGCUCAACAAGCAAGGGGUGGUCUUUUUGCACAAAUCUGUCAGAAUAUCCGGGUGGUAGAAUUUGGGUGUUGUAGAAGCCAGUGGUGUCUGAGGUUAACAUCAUCCAUGUGACUGUACAAAUCAUCAACUGCGCAGUUACAAAUAGAGGGACUAAACUACAAUUCAUGGUUACUAUAGUCUAUGGAUUCAAUGAUCCAACUCUUUGAAGGGAGCUUCGGAAGGAGCUGGGGUUCAUACAUAGGACGGUACAAGGGGCAUGGGCAAUUAUUGAGGACUUUAAUUAUGUGGCAAAUAGGGACAAAAGCAGUGGCGGAGCCAAGAUUAAUACUAAGGGGUUCAAAAAUUGAAAAAGUGAACAUACGAACGAGCUGAAGGGGGUUCAACCUCUACUAUAUAUACAUAAAAAAAAAUUUAACCAUGUCUAAAUAGUAUAAUUUUUCAUCAAAGGACCCCUACAGCAAAGGUGGUUCCACCCCUGGACGAGAGAAUAGGGAGUCAUAUGUUGAAACUGGAGAUUUUAGACAGUGUAUAGUAGAAUGUGAAGUCCAAGAUUGUAAAUCAUCGGGAGCUUAUUUUACAUGAAACAAUGCGCAAGGUGGGAAUAAUAAAGUCUAUAGCAAAAUAGACGGAUUUCUAGUUAAUAGGGACUGGAUCACAAUAUUGCCAUCUUCUGAGGUACACUAUGGAACACAAGGCUUAUAUGUCCAUUGUACAAGAAUAAUGAGAUGAGAAGGAAUUCAACAACAUAUCCCAAGAUUUAGAUAUUUUAUCAUGUGGGGCUUGAAUCCUAGCUUUCAUGAAAGUGUACAAAGAAGGUGAAUAGAUUGAAAGCACCACUAAGAGCUCUGAACAGAGAUAGGUUUCAUGAAGUAUAGAGAAAUACUCUCUUAUUCACUACUUGUUACUAUUUCGCUUCUCGAGGUCAACUUACAUGAACUUUGACAAAAAUUUUAAGAUGUAUACUUAAAUAUUUAAAAUUUAAAAUUUAGAUGGUUGGAAACUAUGCAAAAAAUGCUACAAAUUGCAAUCCUUCUCAUAUUAAUAUGAUGAAAAAAAACUCGAGAAACAAAAUAGUGACAAGUAAAAGCGAACAAAGUGAGUACAAAUCAAGCUUAGGAAAAGAUAAUAAACUAAUAAGAGAUGCUAUAAUAGGACCCACUAAAUCCGAAGUGGAUAACUAAAAAGAUUGCUAGUGUGAUAGAAGUAGAAAGGUGGUGUGUAGCUAGAAGUCUGUACUUGCAGCAGAAAUGCAAAUGUUACUGGUUGAAUCAUGGGGAUCUAAACACCAAAUACUACCAUCAUUCGUUGUAAGCUAGAAAAAACAUUAACUAAAUCUUUACUAUCAAGGAUCGUAGAGGCAUCACAGAUAGAGAUAUAAGUGAUAUGGCACAAGCAUUUAUAGAGUUUUACCAUAAUUUGCUAGGAUCAUAAAUUACCAAUAGGGAUCAUAUAGCAAGAGAAGUGAUCCAGCAGGGAGAUGUAGUUAUAGUGGAGCAAAGACAGAUAUUAUAUGCUACAGUGACAAUGAAAGAGAUCAAACAAGCACCGUCGAGCAUUUCAGGGGGUAAGCACCUGAACCAGAUAGGUUUGGGAGCCAAUUGUGGUUGGUGCCAUUAUGAAAUUCUUUAGGAAUGGGAAAGUGUUGAGAGUUUGGAAUAAAACAGUUAGUACUUUGGUGCCAAAAUCAUAAUAUGCUGUUGACGUAGGAGAUUAUUGACCCAAUGCAUGUUGCAAUACUACCUACAAGGUGAUAUUAAAAAGUAUUGUGCAAUAGGCUGAAGUAGGAACUUCCAACCAUCAUCUUGGAGAACCAAAGUGCUUUUGUACAAGAUAGGACAAUAGUAUAAAAUAUUCUCAUCUGCCAAGACCUAGUCAGAACAUACAACAAGAAGCAGCCUACCAAGAGUUGUCUAAUGAAACCAGACUUUAAAAAGCCUAUAACACUGUUGAAUAAGGAAAAUGUUGCAUGCUUUGAACUUUUCGGGCCAAUUUAUCAGAUAGAAAAUGGAGUGUCAGACAACAACCCAAUUUACAAUUGUUAUUAAUGGGUCCUUGUAUGAGAAUAUAAAAAUGAGAAGGGUGCCUUUAAGUACCUGGGGGUGCCCAUAUCAUAUUGAAGAUUAUCAAAGAUCGAUUGUGAAGUGCUGUUGGAGAAAAUAACAGGAAGAAUACAAAGUCGGGGGUUCAAGACACUUAUCUUAUGCAGGGAAAACACUCCUUAUGAAUACAGUUUUACUGCAUAUUCAUAGCUAUUAGGCAUCAAUGUUUAUACUGCCUAAGCAAGUCUUGAAAGUUAUAACUAGUGUGUGUGCAAGAAACUACUUUAAAGAUCACCCUAAUAGCCUGAGAUCUUGUCUGUAGAUCCAAAAAGAUGGGGCUGGGGGGUUACUGAAUGUAUUCAUUGAAAUGAGCCUGUAGUGGCUAAGUAUGUAUGGACAGAGGCGGAUCCAGGAUUUCAAACUUGUGGGUUCCCAAUAAAAAAUAGGGGCUGAAAAGAAUUUAAUUGAAAAAAGCAAGCACCUUCACAGGGAAUCGAACCCAUGUUCAACUACCAAAGAGACAUGUUGCUAAGGGGUUUCCCUCCUACCACUGCGCCAUCCCUUGAUUUAUUUAUAGGUUCCCACCUUUUAAUAUUCAUACAUUUUGGCAAUUUUUCUCAUGUAACACCUGCUACCGUAGAUCCUUCCAUACAGUAUGGAACAUUUCACAAAAGACAGAUAAUCUGUGGGUCAAGUGGAUUGACCAUGUCUACCUAGAGGAUAGGGAUUGGUGGUACUCAGGGGCGGAGCCACCUUAUGGUUAGUGGGUUAAUCGGGACAUCCUUAUACGGAAAAUUGUACUAUUUAUAUAUGGUUAAAAUUAUUUUUUCUGUAUAUAUAAUUGAUGUUGAACCUCUUCAGCUAGUUUACAUGUCUACUUCUUUCGAUUUUGAACUUACUUAGUGAAAAUUCUGGCUCCGCCACUGGUGGUACUAUAAGUUACCAUAGGACACAAGUUGGCAUUGAAAGAAAACAUGUCAUAUGAGAGACAAAUUUGCAGCUAGAAAUAAUCAAAAUGGGCGGCUCACGGUCAUAGGGAGAUAUAUAGUGAGUAGUGGUUAUAAGUGGAAAAGAUAGCCUCGUCUCCCAUAACAGCCUGAAUAAGAUAUGCUAUGUUCCACUGUAUAAGUAAUUCUCUACCUCCAAGUCAAAGCAAUUUCGCGCUAUUUUUGCAAAUGUCAUUAAAUAACUAAGUUGGACAUGGAGCAGUGUGGAGUAAAGGGAACCUACCCAAACAUAGCUUCAUCAGUUGGCUGGUACAUAGGAGACUCCUGAUAAAGGAGAGACUGAUGAAGAUAGAAGCAAAUCAAGACAACAGAUGCCUAAUAUGUGAUAAUGUUGUAGAAACCAUAGAGCAUCUUUUCUUUGAGUGUGUUUUCUCAAUGAUAUGCCUAAAUAAUCUUCUUGCGUGUUAAAGAAGGGAAUACAUAUGCUAGAUCUCAAAGGGCUUGGGAGAAGACUGGAUCUCAAAGGGGAUGAGGGAAAUCACGUUAGUAUUAGUUAUAGGAUGAUUUAGGACGUAAAUGGCUAGUUUGCCCUCGAAAAAACUGAAGAGAAACGUGAGUUUUAGCAUCUCUAGGAACAUAGGUGUGCCACGCUCUUAUUGCGGAGCACAAAGGGCAUGCCACGCUCUUAUCGCGGAGGGCAUGCCACGCCCUUAUUGCGGACCCUCACUGGUUCGCUCGCGAAACUGGUCAUAACUUUUUGCUCGGGUAUUAAAUUAAGGAAAAAUUGGAUGUGUUGGAAAGAGGGCUCAAUUGUCUUUCAUUUGGUAGGUCUUAAGCUCAAAAUUCUAUAUAUUUUAGAAGCUAUAAAUGUUCAAAGUUGACCUUGUAGGAUCGAGUAUCAAAAUUAAGUCUUUGAACAUUCUUCACCUCGAAAGCACUUUACACACUAGGUAAAUGAUCAUGGCCCUUAUAUUUACAUAGAAAUCAUGAGCUUCGGGUUUACACACGUAGGAAUGACGGUUCGAAUUCUAGCCCGAAAAUAUCAGGUGUUAUAAGAGAAGACCGGAUUGAGGGACAAAAGGGAGAGAAUGUAGGGAGCUGGUGAUAGCAAAAUUUACAACAUUGUUGUACAGGAUCUGGAAGGCAAGGAAUACAGUACUAUGGGAGUCCAAACUACCAAGACCACAGUGAACAAAUAGAAUUACUAAAGGAGAUAUUCUUGAAUAGAAGCAAAAGCUCACAACAUAUAGAAUGGAUAGAAAUGAUUCUUAGAUAAGAAUUAUGAAUAUAUAGUUGAGAAAAGAAUAUUGGUUACUUUAUAGGUUUUAAAUUGUACUAUUCUGAGUAGAGAUUAAUAAAAAUGUUCUUCUUCACCAAGAAAUUAAGUUCUUUUAGAAAUCAAAGUCAUUGAAUUGACAAACUGCAUUAGAGGAGUUUUUCAUUAUAUUGAGAGUUAGUUACAUGUAGUUAGUUAAAAGUAAUUGGUUACACUGCUAUUGUUUCAUUUAGCGGUGCACUGCUACAUUAGUGUACUUAACUAACCGAUUAGCUAAUUAGUUACUACUACUUGCCAGCUAGGAUAGUGUCAGAUAGGGAGCUUCUAGAUGAUUCUAGAACCACUAGUUAAGUCUAUAAAUACUCCCUAAGUCAAGUGGAUAAAUCAGUUGUAAUAGCUUAUUUCCCAUUCUUCUAUCAAUGACUACCCUGCUUUUGCUUCUUCUCCAUAACUGAUACUCUUCUUCUCUAGAGUUAGAAGAUGAAUUGCGCAUUGUUGCUGUAAAUUUCACAUGGUAUCAGAGCACCAGGUUAUUGUAGAUGCAAGGAUAUUGACAUCCAACUAAAGAGGAGUUUAGAUCUCUGAGUUCUUAGCUGAAGCAUCAAGUGGUUAGGUUUCUAUUUUUUAAUUACAAAUUUUUGAGCUGUUUUGUCUACAUGUGUUGAUAACUUAGAUCGUUAAAGUGUGGCUUAAAUUAGUGCAGAAUUUAGAUGCUUUUGAAGAAUUAGAUGGCAUCUAAGAUAGAUUCUAGUGAUCCAUUGUACAUAGGGGCAUCAGAAGUAUCUAGUGCUACAUUGAUUCCAAUCAAACUCACUUAAUAUAGAGAGUGGAGUCGUUCAAUGCGAAUUGCCUUGUUAGAAAAAAUGAAAUUUGGCUUCAUAACUAGAGCAUGUAGUAAGGAUAACUAUAGAUAAGAAUUGCAUGAGUAGUGGGAAACUUGUAAUGCAAUUGUGCUCUCUUGGUUGCUACGCUCUGUUAGUGCAGAGUUGUUAUCCGGAAUUGUGUAUGCAACAAGUGCAUUUAAAGUAUGGGAGGAUUUGAAGGAGAGAUUUGGCAAGGUGAAUCGUAUGAGAUUGUAUCAAUUGCUUAGGAAAUCAGUACUUUGGCACAAGGAACUGAUUCUGUGGCAACUUACUUCACAAAGUUGAAGAAUCUGUGGAAUGAGUAUGAUGCAGUAGUUUCAGCACCAUCAUGUAAUUGUCCAAAGUCAAAAGACUAUGCAGAUCACAUGUAUGAAUCAAGGCUAAUUCAGUUUUGAAGUGGUUUAAAUGAUUCAUAUGACUCAACAAGGAGAUAGAUUGUGCUGAAAGGAGUUACACCUACACUUAAUUAGGCAUAUGCCAUGAUAAUGGAGGAUGAGAUGCAGCAAUUAACCUGUGUAAUUACUAUCAAUGAGAAGACAGAUCCAAUGGCAACGUAGGUGAAUAGAGGACAAAAUAUGAGCUUUGGAAGUCAAGGUUACGGAGGAAAAAAGUGUGAUUAUUGUCACUUUAAUGGUCAACUAGAGAAAACUGUUAUAAGCUGAUAGGUUACCCAACUGACUGAAAGCAAAGGAAGAAGCUCAGCUAUAAUGAUGGAGGUUUAAAGGGCAACAAUUAUAAAGGAUAUGGAAGAACAAAUGGACAAGGAAAUCAAUAUGCAGGUCAGGUUCAUUCUCAACAUCCAUAAUAUAGUUUUAUUUAUACAGGAAACCAUGCUUCCACCAGACAUCAAGAGAAUAAGGAGAUCAACAAUGCAAUUUUGGAAAAAGGGCAUGGCUUCACUAAUGGAGAACAUAAGCAACUCAUGGAGAUACUGAACAUAGAUCCACAAGAUGUAAAACAGGAUAUUAUGUCAAGUAUGGCCACCUUUUUAUUAUCUUAUGUUGUGUUACAUGAGUGGAUAGUUGAUUCUGUUGCUACUCACCAUAAAGCUGCAGAUAAAGAUGUGUUGUCCACAAGUAAGAUAGUUAGGUCAGGUAUGGACAAGGUGAACCUUCCUAAUGGUGCAGAAGUUGACAUUUCACAUAUUGGUGAAGCCAUAGUAUUUUAGAAUGCAGUUGUGAAGGAUGUGUUAUUUGUGCCUGAUUUCAAGCUCAACUGUUGUCUGUGUCCAAAGUCAUUAAGCAGUUAUCUAGCUUUAUAUCCUUUUACCCUGAUUUUUGUGUAUUCUAAGAUCUUUACACUGGAAGGGUGAAGGGGAUUGGUAAAGAAACGAGGAAGUUUGUACAUACUUAAAGGUGAAUGUGGAAUAAGUGAUUUAUCCUCAGAGCAAACAAAACUAAUAGUAGGAUUGAUUGUUAAAGAUAACUUAUAGCAUACAUCCCUAUGCUCAAGAGUUGAAAUCUUUAGAUCUUUUGAAUCAUAAUAAGGACAUUAAGGUCUUGAACAGUUGUCGUGUAUGUCCAUUAGCUAAACAAGCCAGAUUGACAUUCCUAUUAGCAAUACUAGGUUUGUUGCAUGCUUUGAUAUUGUACACAUGGAUCUAUGAGGACCUUAUAAAACUCCUGCUUUUGACAUGAAAUUUAUUGUAUGACUAUUGUGGAUGAUAACACCAGAUAUACUUGGAUCCAUUUAUUGCAACCUAAGUCUGAAACCAUCAUAGCUUUUAAAAGCUUUAUACUCAUGAUUAAAACAUAGUUUGGAACUACUGUCAAGGUUAUAACAUCAGACAAUGGGACAGAGUUUUUCAACUCAAAAUGUCCAAACUUGUUUAAGUCCUUAGGCAUCCUGCAUCAAAGUAGUUGUCCUCACACACCACAGCAAAAUAGUGUGGUUGAAAGAAAGCACAGGCAAAUCCUAAAUGUUGCUAGAGCUAUCAGGUUUCAAUCCCAUAUACCUAUCAGAUUUUGGGGAAUACUUAUUCAAAAUGAAGUGUAUAUAAUGAAUAGAUUACCAUCAUCUUCUAUCAUUGGUAAGAGCCCUUAGGAGUUGUUAUGCUCGAAGGUUCCUUCUCUAGUUCAUCUGAGAGUAGUUGGGUGUCUAUGCUAUGCUUCAGUAUUGCCUAGAGGUGAUAAAUUUUCUGAGAGAGCCAAACCUGUAGUGUUAAUGAGAUAUUCAACUUCACAAAAAGGUUACUUGUUGAUGAACUUGAAUACUGACAAGUUAUUUGUCACUAGAGAUGUUGUGUUUCAAGAGCAUGCGUUUCCAUUUGAAAAUAAGCAGGAGAAAAAUGAUCCAUCAAAUUUUCUACAACUAUAUGAAGAGCAGACUCAGACGUAGUUAAAGAUCAUACAUCUGCAGAUGAGCAAAUACAUGAUAGAGACUCCAGAACAGAAGUACCAUCUCAAGAUCAUUCAUAACUUGAUCAUAUUAUUGAAGCAGAACCAAUACAUGAAUCUAUCCACAUGCUAUUGAUGUUGAUGUUGAUGUUGGACAACACAUGCUAAGAAGAACUCUAAGAGUGACUAGAGAACCUAUCUGGUUGAAGAACUACACUACAAUGAAGAAGAAGAAGGGUACAAGGUAUCAUAUUGCCAACUACUUAUCUUAUGCCAACACUACAGCCAACUACCAAUGUUAUGUGGGUAAUUUCUCAGAUCUAGUAGAGCCACAGUAUUUCAGUCAAGCUGUUAUGAUGAAAUAUGGAUUCAAGCUAGAAAUUCAAGCUCUCGAGGACAAUAACACCUGGGAAAUAGUAGACUUGCUACCAGCUAAAAAUGUUAUUGAAUCAAAGUGGGUAUAUAAAAUCAAGUACCAGGCUAAUGAAGAUGUUGAGAGGUUCAAAACAAGGUUAGUAGCAAAAAGGUACAACCAAUAGGAGGGGUUAGACUAUCAUGAUACCUUUUCACCUAUUGCAAAAAUGGUAACUGUCAGGUGUAUUAUUGUAACACCCCGUAAAAAGUCGUGCAUGGAUUAGCCUUUAAUAGAGUGCCCUUAGACUUAAAAACUUGAAAAUUUUUCUAAGUGUAAUGAGGACUUAGAGUCAUUUUAGCUGGCAAUCUUUGGGAUACAACUUUUCAACCAUCCCGACAUCCGGCUUUAGAUUUUCAAGUUGCGUUAUGAUCAGGUAAGCUCAUAGUACAUCUCGGAUAAGUUUCGGAAUUUUUCAGAACGCAUAAGGCUGCGUUUCGAUUUCAAAACAGUAGCAAAACGCAUAGCCUAUUGCCCAGUUUUCAGUAUUUCAGGGUCAACUUCAAACGAUCAUAACUCCCUGUAUAUAAUGAACUGUGUGAGAUAUAAUAUAUCAAACGAAAUAUCUUUGAGUCCUCUUUCAAAUGCAGUUGGUUUCAUCCAAUUUGAGUNNNNNNNNNNNNNNNNNNNNNNNNNNNNNNNNNNNNNNNNNNNNNNNNNNNNNNNNNNNNNNNNNNNNNNNNNNNNNNNNNNNNNNNNNNNNNNNNNNNNNNNNNNNNNNNNNNNNNNNNNNNNNNNNNNNNNNNNNNNNNNNNNNNNNNNNNNNNNNNNNNNNNNNNNNNNNNNNNNNNNNNNNNNNNNNNNNNNNNNNNNNNNNNNNNNNNNNNNNNNNNNNNNNNNNNNNNNNNNNNNNNNNNNNNNNNNNNNNNNNNNNNNNNNNNNNNNNNNNNNNNNNNNNNNNNNNNNNNNNNNNNNNNNNNNNNNNNNNNNNNNNNNNNNNNNNNNNNNNNNNNNNNNNNNNNNNNNNNNNNNNNNNNNNNNNNNNNNNNNNNNNNNNNNNNNNNNNNNNNNNNNNNNNNNNNNNNNNNNNNNNNNNNNNNNNNNNNNNNNNNNNNNNNNNNNNAUCAACAAAAGAGAGCAUGAAUUUGAAAUAAAUAUUGUUCACCACUUGUAAAUGAUGAAGCACCUUGGUUUUUACAUGAUUAUGAAUAUGUGGAUGUGAUACUGAUGACUUGCAAGUCGGGUGUGACGAUAACCUACCAAAUAUGAUAUGCGAUUGAAUAAGGUGAAAUUUGAAUGCAUUGAUUUUACAUGAGAAAGAUGGAUGCCCGAAGAAGGCGUUUGAGAAAAAAAUGGCUCAUUACUGGAAGAACGUGUUUGCCGACAUGGAAUAUCGGUACCAUGCUUUGUGGUCUUGCGUACCUAAUAUUAUACUAUCCCAAAUUGGAAUUAUUGUUAGGAGGCAUGCUUUGUGGUCUUUUGCACUACCAUAUUUGAUUUGGGUCGAGACACCAUGCUUUGUGGUCUUGUGUGUCUCUCCCUCACUUAUACUCUAAUCUCGGUGGCAACCGAGGUUUGACAGUUGGUGUAAAUUAUGUAGGGUAUUCCACCUAGCUCAGUUGCAUUUCAUUAUUGUUGAGAAAAACUAUUGCAUUACACCCAUGUGUUUUCAAAUGAUUUGAUACGAAAUUGCUUUAUAAUGGCUCUCAACUAUAUAUUGUAAAAAUAUUAUGUUUUGUUUUUAUAUCUCUACGUGCCAGUACUUUUGUGCUGACCCCCUCCCCUCUCCAACCUCUCAGGUUCAGAGGCCCAGUCUAGGGGUCAAGAGAAUCAGUAGAUCAUUCAGACAGAGUUGCAGAGACAAGUGGUGAGCCUUCUAUGUUUCGGAAGGUCUUAUGUCCUGCAGUCCUUUUAUCUUAUAUUAGUUUUGGGUCUGCUGGGGGCCUUGUCCCAGUUUUCAGAUAGACAUUGUUUCAGUCAUGUAGUAGAGAUUUCGCAGACGGUUUUAAAGAUGUUGAUUUAGAUUGUGGGACACUAUUCCCCAUUUUCAUUUUCAUAUGAUUCCUGGCCAUGUUUCCGUUAUAUUGUGUUUUUCCACAUUUCUUUGAUCAUAUGAAUUAGGUGCAUGAUUACUAGACAGAUAGGGGUGUUUCGGGCCUCAAUGGUUCGAAAUGCUCGUCACGGCCAGGCCCUGGUUUGGGUCAUGACAAUUAUUGCUCUAGCAGUAUCAAAAGGAUGGUAUUUGCAUUACAUGGAUGUGUAUAAUGCAUUCUUACAGAAUAUGAGGAGGUAUACAUGAAGUUACCUAAAGGUUUUCAACAGAAAGGAAAACAUAAAGUGUACAGGUUAUUAAGUCUUUAUAUGGGCUUAAACAAACAUCGAGACAAUGGAAUAUCAAGCAUACUUCAUCCUUAUUACAAGUUGGAUUUACUUAGAGUGCAUAUGAUUAUUCAUUUUUCACUUUAAGGAAGACAACGGGAAUGGUCAUAAUCUUAGUCUAUGUUUAUGACUUGCUCAUCACUGGAGAAGCUAAGGAGGCAUUACACCAAUAGUUUAAGCUCAAAGACUUGGGAAAGCUUAAGUACUUUCUUAGUAUUGAGAUUCUAAGGUCUAGAUAAGGAAACAUUUUAAAUCAAUGAAAGUACAUUCUUGAGUUGAUUUUAAAAACUGGUCUUGUUGGUGCCAAACCAGCAAAUACACCAUUUGUAUCUGAUGUAGACACGUAAUUUUGUCCCUUCCUGAAAUUAUUUUUUAUUACUUUUACCCCCGUCUUACCACGCACCUUCACCCCAUUCCAUAAUUCUUCCAAAAAAAAUCAAAAACAACCAAAUUAAUAACUACUUUUAACACCUCACCCUAACAAAUUUAAUCUCAUCCUAACAACUUUCUACCCCAACCUCUACCCCUAUACCCCUAGACCCCUUACCCCACCCAAAGACAUUUGUAUUCCUUUUUCUUAACCCAAUACGGGGAGAGAGAAGACACUAGGAAGGGAUUCCAUUUUUCAAUCUUCCACAACAGAAUACAUAUGCACAUUCCCUCCAUUUCAUAAUAAAUGAAUUGUUAGAUUUUGACAUACGGAUUAAGAAAAAAGCAUUAAAGACAUAAAUUUAACACAAUUUUUUAUUUUUAUCCCAAAAAAAAAAGUUGAUUUUAUAAUACUUUUUAAAAGUUAAUUGAUUGUCAAAUCAUAAUGGAUAAAUUUAGAAAAAAAACUCAAUGAUUCACUUAUUUUGAAACAUCAAUAAAUACCCUAACAAUUCACUUAUUCCGAAACAGAGGAAGUACUCCGCAACACAACUCCAUAGGCAGCACACAUAUACACAUAUACGGGCACACUACACAUGAAAAAAGGGGGGAAUUUCUAUUGAAUACAGGGAGCUCGCCAUUAACACCCACAGAGAAACCUCCCUUCACCAUCAAUAUACAGACCCACUUCACCAUUUGCACAGACUCUCAAUUCUCACACAAACAAGCACACACAACUGCAAUAGACACACACCCAUCACAUACACACACACUCUCAGACUCCAUCGAACACACCCAUACCUCAUUGAAAAAGUCACGCACUCACAGAAAGCAAAACAGACCAUAGAGAGAUGGAGAGAGAAUUGAGAGAGUAGUAAGAAAAGAGCGGACAUAGAGGGAGAAAUAGAGGCUCGCCGUCUUUCACUGUCGUUAUUCUGUCACUGUCGGAGCUCCGGCAGAGCCUCCACGGGUUCAAUUGAAAAAUCCAUCGUCUUAAUCUGCCGGCAAAACCCGUAACCCCGUUGACGUAAAUAGUAUUAUGAUCAAAGUCGCGAACAUUAUUUUUUGGUCCCAGAUUCGAUUCAGAUUUUCGGGGAUUUUGAUUUGAGAUUGCUAUUUUUGAUUGUUCAGUUUUGGGUACAAUCGAGUUGGCGGGUUCGCGUUGAAUUUGUUGAUUGAGGUUUGGUUGUGGUUUCUGGCGGGAGCUCCAUCUUAUUUAAUUGAAUAAUACUUGAUUGAAAAGCCUCAUGUCUAAUCUUUUCUCAAUUAAUUUUCAUUUUUAAUACUUUGU